This 1275-nucleotide ribosomal RNA is filed under the name Megasoma mars. RNAcentral describes it as "16S ribosomal RNA". The stretch from base 587 to 1275 matches the Rfam family "Archaeal large subunit ribosomal RNA", at positions 1423 to 2806 of the family's 2987-position model. RNAcentral also lists the same sequence under 1 other name. Lineage: Eukaryota; Metazoa; Arthropoda; Insecta; Coleoptera; Scarabaeidae. The record is from RNAcentral.
GAUGAUUUUUUUAUUUUUAGGUUAUGGAAGAAGUAUCUUUAAUGGUAGUAUAUUUUAGAAAUUAAUUGAAUAAUGAUAGUGAAUAGUAUAGUGAUAGGACUAUGAGUUACGUUGUUAGUUAUAAAAAAGAAGAAUUGAUUUUUUGUACCUUGUGUAUCAGGGUUUAUUAAAAUAGGUUUAUUAUUUGGCUUUCUCGAAUUAGAAAGAGCUAUAACUUUAUAAAUUUAAUUGUGGCAUAAGUUUUUUAAAUAGAGUUAUGGUAGUGAAAUGUUAGUCGUUUUUUAUGAUAUCUGGUUUCUUAAGAAACAAAUUUAAUUUGGUUUUUUGAAUCUACAGGAUUGAUUUUUAUAGUUUUGUAAUUUAAAGAUUUAAUGUUCCUGGGGAUAAGCUUGGGAACAGAUUUUUAUACUUUAUGAGUUUUGUUAAUAGUUAGUAGGAUUGGUAAUUUCUUUCUUUAGUUUGUUAUAAUUAACUUUUGGUUAAAUAAGAUUUAUAUUUGGUUUAAGUUUUAUAUUAAGAUUAUGAGUUUAAUAUUGUGUUUUAUGAGAUAAUGAUAAAAUUAGUAUAUGUUGGUGUAUUAUUAUUUUUUUUUCUUAAGGUUAAGUUAAGGAAUUCGGCAAAUAUAUUUUUCGCCUGUUUAUUAAAAACAUGUCUUUUUGAUUAUAAUUUAAAGUCUGACCUGCCCAAUGAGGAUUUUAAUGGCCGCGGUAAUUUGACCGUGCAAAGGUAGCAUAAUCAUUAGUUUUUUAAUUGAAAGCUGGUAUGAACGGUUGGACGAGAAAAUGACUGUCUCAAUUUAAUUGAAAAUAGAAUUUUAUUUAUAAGUUAAAAAGCUUAUAUAGAUUUAAAAGACGAGAAGACCCUAUAGAAUUUUAUAGAUAAACAUUUAUUUAAUAAUUGGGAUAAAGAGUUUUAUAUGUGUUGACUAUUUUAUUGGGGCGAUAGAAAAAUUGAUAAAACUUUUUUUUGUUUGUGUCAUUGAUUUAUGAAUAAUUGAUCCGUUAGUUACGAUUAUAAGAUUAAAUUACCUUAGGGAUAACAGCGUAAUUUUUUUUAGAGUUCUUAUCAAAAAAAGAGUUUGCGACCUCGAUGUUGGAUUAAAAUUAACUUUUGGUGCAGGAGCUAAAAGGUUAGGUCUGUUCGACCUUUAAAAUUUUACAUGAUCUGAGUUUAAACCGGCGUGAGCCAGGUUGGUUUCUAUCUUUAAAAACAGUGAAUGCUUUAGUACGAAAGGAUUAGGUAUUUGUAAUGGUUACUAUUAUUUGAAUAUGAUUA